Molecule: ribosomal RNA, 1349 nt
Filed under: metagenome
Description: bacterial LSU rRNA
Rfam family: Bacterial large subunit ribosomal RNA
Source: RNAcentral
UGAGUGCGAGCUGCUACGGCAGCGAAGUUGGUGAUGUCAUGCUUCCAAGAAAAGCCCUAUACCCGUUAAGGCAUCAUGGCCUGUACCCGAAACCGACACAGGUGGGGUGGUAGAGAAUACCGAGGGGCGCGAGGUAACUCUCUCUAAGGAACUCGGCAAAAUGGCCCCGUAACUUCGGGAGAAGGGGUGCCACCGCAAGGUGGUCGCAGUGAAGAGGCCCAGGCGACUGUUUACCAAAAACACAGGUCUCCGCUAAGUCGCAAGACGAUGUAUGGGGGCUGACGUCUGCCCAGUGCCGGAAGGUUAAGGAAGCUGGUCAGCGCAAGCGAAGCUAGCGACUGAAGCCCCGGUGAACGGCGGCCGUAACAAUAACGGUCCUAAGGUAGCGAAAUUCCUUGUCGGGUAAGUUCCGACCCGCACGAAAGGCGUAACGAUCUGGGCGCUGUCUCGGAGAGAGGCUCGGCGAAAUAGAAUUGUCUGUGAAGAUGCGGACUACGUGCACCCGGACAGAAAGACCCUAUGAAGCUUUACUGUAGCUUGGUAUUGUGCCCGGGCUCGCAAUGCGCAGGAUAGGUGGGAGGCUUUGAUCAUCGGCUUGCGGGUCGAUGUGAGCCAACGGUGAGAUACCACUCUUUGCGAGCUAGGGUUCUAACGGCUACCCGUCAUCCAGGGGCCGGACAGUACCUGGUGGGCAGUUUGACUGGGGCGGUCGCCUCCUAAAAGGUAACGGAGGCGCGCAAAGGUUUGCUCAGGCUGGUUGGAAAUCAGCCGACGAGUGUAAAAGCAGAAGCAAGCUUGACUGUGAGACCAACAAGUCGAACAGGGAGGAAACACGGCUUUAGUGAUCCGACGGUUCUGAGUGGAAGGGCCGUCGCUCAACGGAUAAAAGUUACUCUAAGGAUAACAGGCUGAUCUCCCCCAAGAGUUCACGUCGACGGGGAGGUUUGGCACCUCGAUGUCGGCUCAUCGCAACCUGGGGCUGAAGUCGGUCCCAAGGGUUGGGCUGUUCGCCCAUUAAAGCGGUACGCGAGCUGGGUUCAGAACGUCGUGAGACAGUUCGGUCCAUAUCCGGUGCACGCGCAGGAAUAUUGAGAGGAUUUCUCCCUAGUACGAGAGGACCGGGAGGAACGCACCUCUGGUGUACCAGUUAUCGUGCCAACGGUAAACGCUGGGUAGCCAUGUGCGGAGUGGAUAACCGCUGAAAGCAUCUAAGUGGGAAGCCCACCUCAAGAUGAGUAUUCCCAUGGCGUAAGCCAGUAAGGUCACGGGAAGAACACCCGUUGAUAGGCUCUAUGUGGAAGCGCAGUAAUGCGUGAAGCAGAGGAGUACUAAUAGACCGAGGGCUUGAC